AAGGGUAUUGUUUAAUGGUAGAACGUAGAUCUCCAAAAUCUGCUGUGUGGGUUCGAUUCCUACUACCCUUGCCA
This 74-nucleotide transfer RNA is filed under the name Ureaplasma sp. Its description in RNAcentral is "tRNA-Trp". It matches the Rfam family "tRNA". Rfam says of the family: Transfer RNA (tRNA) molecules are approximately 80 nucleotides in length. Lineage: Bacteria; Bacillati; Mycoplasmatota; Mycoplasmoidales; Mycoplasmoidaceae. The record is from RNAcentral.